AUACGGAGGGUGCAAGCGUUAUCCGGAAUCAUUGGGUUUAAAGGGUUCGUAGGCGGAUUGGUAAGUCAGUGGUGAAAGUCUGCAGCUUAACUGUAGAAUUGCCAUUGAUACUGCUAGUCUUGAAUUACUGUGAAGUGAUUAGAAUGUGUAGUGUAGCGGUGAAAUGCAUAGAUAUUACACAGAAUACCAAUUGCGAAGGCAGAUCACUAACAGUAUAUUGACGCUGAGGGACGAAAGCGUGGGGAGCGAACAGGAUUAGAUACCCCAGUAGUCC
RNAcentral lists this ribosomal RNA (274 nucleotides) under uncultured bacterium. RNAcentral's name for it is "partial 16S ribosomal RNA". It matches the Rfam family "Bacterial small subunit ribosomal RNA", at positions 523 to 796 of the family's 1533-position model. The record is from RNAcentral.